RNAcentral lists this long non-coding RNA (1374 nucleotides) under Dasypus novemcinctus (nine-banded armadillo). RNAcentral's name for it is "lncRNA (ENSDNOG00000050382.1)". Lineage: Eukaryota; Metazoa; Chordata; Mammalia; Cingulata; Dasypodidae. The record is from RNAcentral.
GCGGAGCUUCCUCAGCAAGGCGCUCGCGGGGCUCGGGGAGACGGGCGCACGGGUGCCCGGCAGGUGAGCGGAGGGCGCCGGGCCCUGCGGCCUCUGCCCGGAGGGGCGGCCGGGGGUGCACGUCCCCCGAGCCUUGGUCCCUCGGCUGGGAAACGGGAAGGGGGGCCAGUGGGGGCGCAGGCCCUGGUGUGCAGGGAGGGGCCGGGUGUGCUGCAUGCCCCCCGGGUGUCACCUGUGCAGCAAGGGGCCCAUGGCACGUACCUCCUAGCCACCGCGGGGCCCGGCAGCCACCUGACAGGUGAGUGGGCAGAGGAGCCCACCCGGCUGUGCCUGGGGCAUGGGGGACGGGGGCCCUGAGGGGCCGAGGUGCGCGUGGGACCUCCGGCGUGGGGCAUGUCUGGCUGGGGGGCAGCCCAGCCGCUCCUAGGAAGCUGGCGUGAUCACCCUGGGCCUGGAAGAGGGCGCAGAGGGGCCAGGGUGCCGUCCACAGCACCGCGGCGCGGGGGCUCGCGGGGAGGGGCCGGGGCCCCAUCAGGGCUCUGUGCUGGCAGCCAGGCUCCGGCACGUGUGGGCGCAGGACAGUGCCAGAGACCUGGGGCCGACCCUGAGCGCCAGGAGUGCCAGGCCGCCGGCCGUGAGGACAGCCCUGGACGGGCCAGCGGCAGAGCCCCUGGCCCCCUGCCGGGAGCGUUCGGGGACACUUGGUUCUCAGCGGGCAGUGGGUGCCCGCGGCCCUGGCUGGCUGCCUGGGGGGGGGGGCGUGGGGCAGGGGCUGCCGGGGCCCCUGACGUACUGUCUCAUCACCCGCAGGCCGACCCCAGCCGCCUCGCCGGCCCUGAGUUGCCCCCCCAGUGCUGUAGCGCCUCCAGCCAGCCCCUCGCCCAAGCUCUCUGUGCCGUCCCCCAGCCCUGCUUCGCCACCCCCCCAGGCCCCCGGCCCUGCUUCGUCACCCCCGAGCGUGGGCACCUCCCCGAGGCCCCCCCGGCCGCCCCAGGCGGGCAGGACAAGCCCCAGCGUGGCCGCGGGCACCAGCUGGGGCCGUGCUGGCUCGGGGGUGAAGCCGGAGGCCCCCACCGCGAAGGCGCCCACCGUGCGGCCCUCCCCAGGCCUGAGUGCCGGUGCCCAGGGCGGAUCAGAGGACGGGCCAGCGGGAUGGCGGGCACGCCUGAAGCCCGUGGAGACGAGAAGCCCCCCGGAGAGGUGAGGGCCGCCCUGGGCUGGCCAGGCGGGUGCCCGGCAGAGGCGGGAUGGCGCACGCUGACGGCGUGGCACGGGCACCUGCUCCUCCGGGGCUUGUGGGACAUGGCGUGGCACUGGCCCCGGUGGGCUCGGGCGCCCGUGGAGGCUGCAGGAGACGCUGGGGUGGCGCCGGGG